Molecule: non-coding RNA, 21 nt
Filed under: Caenorhabditis elegans
Lineage: Eukaryota; Metazoa; Nematoda; Chromadorea; Rhabditida; Rhabditidae
Source: RNAcentral
UAUGGUGUUUCCUCUAUUACA